This 497-nucleotide ribosomal RNA is filed under the name uncultured bacterium. RNAcentral's name for it is "partial 16S ribosomal RNA". It matches the Rfam family "Bacterial small subunit ribosomal RNA", at positions 28 to 507 of the family's 1533-position model. The record is from RNAcentral.
GAUGAACGCUGGCGGCGUGCCUAAUACAUGCAAGUCGAGCGAACGGACGAGAAGCUUGCUUCUCUGAUGUUAGCGGCGGACGGGUGAGUAACACGUGGAUAACCUACCUAUAAGACUUGGAUAACUUCGGGAAACCGUAGCUAAUACCGGAUAAUAUUUUGAACCGCAUGGUUCAAAAGUGAAAGACGGUCUUGCUGUCACUUAUAGAUGGAUCCGCACUGCAUUAGCUAGUUGGUAAGGUAACGGCUUACCAAGGCAACGAUGCAUAGCCGACCUGAGAGGGUGAUCGGCCACACUGGAACUGAGACACGGUCCAGACUCCUACGGGAGGCAGCAGUAGGGAAUCUUCCGCAAUGGGCGAAAGCCUGACGGAGCAACGCCGCGUGAGUGAUGAAGGUCUUCGGAUCGUAAAACUCUGUUAUUAGGGAAGAACAUAUGUGUAAGUAACUGUGCACAUCUUGACGGUACCUAAUCAGAAAGCCACGGCUAACUACGUG